This is a non-coding RNA of Paralichthys olivaceus (Japanese flounder), 1687 nucleotides long. NCBI's taxonomy places the organism in Eukaryota, Metazoa, Chordata, Actinopteri, Pleuronectiformes, Paralichthyidae. The record is from RefSeq and is a predicted model, not a curated record.
AGAGGCGAGAGGAGCUAAACCACCCGGUAACUGUAGUCACGGCCAUUGUGGCGAGGCUGCAGCUGAAAUAUAAAACUGUCACACCCCUCUUUAUGUGGAGAUUUACCAGGACACAGAUUCAUGGAAAAGGAACCUUGAGCAAAGCAGCUGAUCUAAAAUGAAACCACAGGGGCGUGAUGGUGAUUUCACUGUUAUCUAACGACAGUACAAAUUGUGAUUUGCUGACUACGUUAACACUUUAGGGAUGAAUCUGUUUUUAAUAGGACAGAGUACACAUUAUAGUCACGAUGUAGUUUGGGCAUGAAUUGUAUAAUUCUUCUUCAACAGAUAUACAGUUACAUCAAUAUUUCUGGAUUUCGUUAAAAAGGCUGCAAGUCAAUGCAAGUGCUAAAUUCCUUUUUGGUAGCAAUGCAACUUAUUCCAGAAUGAGUCAGCCACAGUUAAAGCCCAGCCCUGGUUUACAGCACUGCACGGGCUCCACCUGCAGGAGUGGCCAAAUGACUCUUUUGGACGACUCCAGCCCCAAUAGCAAACAUGGGACUGAAGGAGAAGAGAGAGACAAUUAGGGAUAAGGUUUGGGGUUUUUCAGAAAGCGCCAACUGGCUCAGCUGUCGGGAGGACGUCUCAGUGAAACAGCUGGACAGGCAAUUUUCCUUGUGGGAAUAAGAAGGAAUUAUGGAACGCCCCAGUGCUCCUUCACCUAUGGAAGCCACUGCCAAAACAAGAGGAAACGCUAAAGCGUUGAAGUCAGGCCUGGUCAAAUGUCGUCAGGAGGAGCUGACAACGCCUGCUCACUAGAAAGUCCUCAGGUCGUCUCGCUGGACACAUCUGGGUAACAGCUGGGAAGCCAUUGAAUCUACACAGCUGCAUAUGGUCUUCAUUCUUUUAUUUUUGAAUGGGUUAGUUUGUGUCGUGGCCUAUGAAAUAAACUGUUCCCUGCAUCAUUCUAUGAGACUUUAGACGGUAACUUUUCUUUUGUAUUCUCUGCUUACCAGGAUGUGUACGGCUCUUUCCUUUGUGCCCCUGCUCCUCUGGGUUGAAGUGGCCUCACUGUGCCGUUCUUAGUGUUUAUGUUUUGCCACUUAGUGACUAUCAGAUGACCACGCAAAGCAAGAGGAGCUGGAGAGGAGGCCCCCACAUCUAUUGGUUAAAGGAUGGCACACUUAGUGAGGUCACACUGAGCUCAUUGACACUGACAUCACAACAGAACAUAAGGCGCGACCAUAUUUGAAGCACAUCAGAGAUUGUAAAUGUCCGCGCUGUGUGUGUCAAAACAACACAACAUGGCCGUUUGUGCACAAGUGUAAAGCAGGAUCACAUUAGUGCAUCUGCGCCCAGUCUCACCUCUCCCAUUUUUGAACUCUGAGGCUGCAAAACGGACCAUGACCGAGCUGGAGCUCUCCAUUGGCUGCCAGCUAAAUCAGAUAAAGCCGACCCGAGUGUUUGAGAGGGGGAAUGGGCUUAGUUUCUUUUCCUUAAGAAAUGGGCCUGUCCCCUCCCUGUGAAGCAACAACAACCAAAUAAAUCAGAGACAUGCAGCAUGACAGACUCCAGAUUGUGGCACCCCAGUGAUACUAAACAUGUGCUAAUCAUUAGCCCCUGGCUUCCUGUUGAAGUCGAUGUCAUCAGCGCACACAUCCCGACAGACAGGACCAGCAUACAGAGCUGUUGCCUGGAAUCAGAAUGA